GUGCGGUAACACGCACUGGAGGUCCGAACCCACUAAUGUUGAAAAAUUAGGGGAUGAGCUGUGGGUAGGGGUGAAAGGCUAAACAAACUUGGAAAUAGCUGGUUCUCUCCGAAAACUAUUUAGGUAGUGCCUCAAGUAUCACCAUCGGGGGUAGAGCACUGUUAUGGCUAGGGGUUCAUUGCGAAUUACCAACCCAUUGCAAACUCCGAAUACCGAUGAGUGCGAGCUUGGGAGACAGACGCCGGGUGCUAACGUCCGACGUCAAGAGGGAAACAACCCAGACCGCCAGCUAAGGUCCCAAAGAUUGGCUAAGUGGCAAACGAAGUGGGAAGGCUAAAACAGUCAGGAGGUUGGCUUAGAAGCAGCCAUCCUUUAAAGAAAGCGUAAUAGCUCACUGAUCGAGUCGUCCUGCGCGGAAGAUGUAACGGGGCUAAGCCAGUCACCGAAGCUGCGGAUAUGUGUUUAUUUAUAAACCAUAUGGUAGGAGAGCGUUCUGUAAGCCUGCGAAGGUGUCUUGUAAAGGAUGCUGGAGGUAUCAGAAGUGCGAAUGCUGACAUGAGUAGCGAUAAUGGGGGUGAAAAGCCUCCACGCCGUAAGCCCAAGGUUUCCUGUUCAACGUUCAUCGGAGCAGGGUGAGUCGGCCCCUAAGGCGAGGCAGAGAUGCGUAGCUGAUGGGAAGCAGGUUAAUAUUCCUGCACCGUCGUGUGAUGCGAUGGGGGGACGGAUCGCGGAAGGUUGUCCGACUGUUGGAAUAGUCGGUUUUUGGCUCAGAGAAGGCUGUUAGGCAAAUCCGGCAGCGUAAUUCAAGGGGUUGAGACGAGUGAAUUUAUUCACGAAGCAAUCGGAAGUGGUUCCAAGAAAAGCCUCUAAGCUUCAGUCACACGAGACCGUACCGCAAACCGACACAGGUGGGCGAGAUGAGUAUUCUAAGGCGCUUGAGAGAACUCGGGAGAAGGAACUCGGCAAAUUUGUACCGUAACUUCGGGAUAAGGUACGCCCCGGUAGCUUGACUGGCUCGCGCCAGCAGGGUGAAAGGGCUGCAAUAAAAAGGUGGCUGCGACUGUUUAAUAAAAACACAGCACUAUGCAAACACGAAAGUGGACGUAUAUGGUGUGACUCCUGCCCGGUGCUGGAAGAUUAAAUGAUGGGGUGCAAGCUCUUGAUUGAAGUCCCAGUAAACGGCGGCCGUAACUAUAACGGUCCUAAGGUAGCGAAAUUCCUUGUCGGGUAAGUUCCGACCUGCACGAAUGGAGUAACGAUGGCCACACUGUCUCCUCCCGAGACUCAGCGAAGUUGAAAUGUUUGUGAUGAUGCAAUCUACCCGCGGCUAGACGGAAAGACCCCAUGAACCUUUACUGUAGCUUUGCAUUGAAUUUUGAACCAAUCUGUGUAGGAUAGGUGGGAGGCUUUGAAGCGUGAACGCUAGUUUGCGUGGAGCCAACCUUGAAAUACCACCCUGGUUUGUUUGAGAUUCUAACCUUGGUCCGUUAUCCGGAUCGGGGACAGUGCAUGGUAGGCAGUUUGACUGGGGCGGUCUCCUCCUAAAGUGUAACGGAGGAGUUCGAAGGUACGCUAGGUACGGUCGGACAUCGUGCUGUUAGUGCAAUGGCAUAAGCGUGCUUAACUGCGAGACUGACAAGUCGAGCAGGUACGAAAGUAGGACAUAGUGAUCCGGUGGUUCUGUAUGGAAGGGCCAUCGCUCAACGGAUAAAAGGUACUCUGGGGAUAACAGGCUGAUUCCUCCCAAGAGUUCAUAUCGACGGGGGAGUUUGGCACCUCGAUGUCGGCUCAUCACAUCCUGGGGCUGUAGCCGGUCCCAAGGGUAUGGCUGUUCGCCAUUUAAAGUGGUACGUGAGCUGGGUUUAAAACGUCGUGAGACAGUUUGGUCCCUAUCUGCCGUGGGCGUUGGAAAUUUGAAGGGGGCUGCUCCUAGUACGAGAGGACCGGAGUGGACGAACCUCUGGUGUACCGGUUGUCACGCCAGUGGCAUUGCCGGGUAGCUAAGUUCGGAAGAGAUAACCGCUGAAAGCAUCUAAGCGGGAAACUUGCCUUGAGAUGAUAUUUCCCGGGAACUAGAUUCCCCUAAAGGGUCGUUCGAGACCAGGACGUUGAUAGGCUGGGUGUGGAAGCGUAGUAAUACGUUAAGCUAACCAGUACUAAUUGCCCGUGCGGCUUGUCCCU
Molecule: ribosomal RNA, 2181 nt
Filed under: Glaciimonas immobilis
Lineage: Bacteria; Pseudomonadati; Pseudomonadota; Betaproteobacteria; Burkholderiales; Oxalobacteraceae
Description: Oxalobacteraceae bacterium Cr9-30 Bacterial large subunit ribosomal RNA
Rfam family: Bacterial large subunit ribosomal RNA
Source: Rfam by way of RNAcentral